UACGGGGGGAGCAAGCGUUGUUCGGAUUUACUGGGCGUAAAGGGCGCGUAGGCGGCCACCGCAAGUCAAUUGUGAAAUCUCCGGGCUUAACUCGGAAAGGUCAACUGAUACUGCGGGGCUAGAGUGCGGAAGGGGCAACUGGAAUUCUCGGUGUAGCGGUGAAAUGCGUAGAUAUCGAGAGGAACACCGGUGGCGAAGGCGGCAUCCUGGACCGACACUGACACUGAGGAGCGAAAGCCAGGGGAGCAAACGGG
Molecule: ribosomal RNA, 254 nt
Filed under: uncultured bacterium
Lineage: Bacteria
Description: partial 16S ribosomal RNA
Rfam family: Bacterial small subunit ribosomal RNA
Source: RNAcentral